Molecule: ribosomal RNA, 99 nt
Filed under: Acinetobacter baumannii
Lineage: Bacteria; Pseudomonadati; Pseudomonadota; Gammaproteobacteria; Moraxellales; Moraxellaceae
Description: partial 16S ribosomal RNA
Rfam family: Bacterial small subunit ribosomal RNA
Source: RNAcentral
UUUAACUGAAGAGUUUGAUCAUGGCUCAGAUUGAACGCUGGCGGCAGGCUUAACACAUGCAAGUCGAGCGGGGGAAGGUAGCUUGCUACUGGACCUAGC